CUUGUACUAAUGAUGACUUGUCUGAAAACUCCUGCUUAAGGAAGCUGGACAAUGUCUGACAGCUCACAAG
Molecule: non-coding RNA, 70 nt
Organism: Poecilia formosa (Amazon molly)
Lineage: Eukaryota; Metazoa; Chordata; Actinopteri; Cyprinodontiformes; Poeciliidae
Source: Rfam